UACGUAGGGAGCGAGCGUUAUCCGGAAUUAUUGGGCGUAAAGGGUGCGUAGAUGGUUGAUAUAAGUCUUUUGUAAAAAUGCUAGGCUCAACCUAGUAGGGCAAAAGAUACUGAUGAACUAGAGUACGGCAGAGGCAAGUGGAACUACAUGUGUAGCGGUGGAAUGCGUAGAUAUAUGGAAGAACACCAGUGGCGAAGGCGGCCUGCUGGACAAUAACUGACGCUGAGGCGCGAAAGCGUGGGGAGCAAACAGG
Molecule: ribosomal RNA, 253 nt
Filed under: uncultured Anaeroplasma sp.
Lineage: Bacteria; Bacillati; Mycoplasmatota; Mollicutes; Anaeroplasmatales; Anaeroplasmataceae
Description: partial 16S ribosomal RNA
Rfam family: Bacterial small subunit ribosomal RNA
Source: RNAcentral